This is a long non-coding RNA of Lytechinus variegatus (green sea urchin), 773 nucleotides long. RefSeq lists it as uncharacterized. Lineage: Eukaryota; Metazoa; Echinodermata; Echinoidea; Temnopleuroida; Toxopneustidae. The transcript has 2 exons. The record is from RefSeq and is a predicted model, not a curated record.
UACUAAUUUAUCAUAAACCUGUACAUGGGGCGGUGGCUUCGGAGUGCACUAAUCAUGUUCUUGCUAUUAUCCAGUAAUGCACCAAAACUUAGCGGUCGCUACUUUACCGAGCGCCAUUUUGAUCGCGAAGUAAAACAUUAAAUGGAAUUGAUGAGGUUUCUGUCUGGUAAGACGCUGUUAUAGUGCCAUUUGUUGGCCUUGCCACUGUUCUGCAAUGGUUACAUUUACGAGUGAAGACUGUAAUAGUUUUGCUGCCAAUUAACUUGGAACACCAAUUGCAUAGCAGAGAUGGCCGACGAUCAAACAGAGGAUCCUACGUUGCUGAAAGAGGUAGGAAGAUAUCAACUCCUUUGGUUCAAACAAAGAACAUUUUGGGUUAAGGAUAUAUAUUGAGAGGCAGCGUAGCUCAGUUGGUUAGAGCGCAUGUUUCGGAUAAGCUCGUAGAUCUCAACGUGAGGGGUUUGAGUCCCGCUCAUGCCGAAACGCGUCUAAUAAAAAAUCUGAUGCUAUAGCGUUGUGUGUUAUCGUGCCUCACCGCUGUAUUCAGUACAGGUGUGAAUGCAGUUGGAAAACACUCCGUCCAUCGGAAAGGACGCAAAUAUUGGUCCCGUGUAUAUGAGAGUCACAACCUAUGCACGUUAAAACCAAUACACUAUUCGUCAAAGAGUAGGGUGUUCACCCGGUGUAUUGCACCUGCCGGUCCUGGUAAGUCAUGUCAAUCUUGACGUUCAUAUGCCAUAAUAAUCAAUAUAAUGAUUGUGGGCAUUAACGGA